GCCUGGGUGGCUCAGAUGGUUGAGCGUCUGACUUUGGUUCAGGUCAUGAUCUCACGGUCUGUGAGUUCGAUACCCACGUCAGGCU
This 85-nucleotide transfer RNA is filed under the name Felis catus (domestic cat). It matches the Rfam family "tRNA". Rfam says of the family: Transfer RNA (tRNA) molecules are approximately 80 nucleotides in length. The record is from Rfam by way of RNAcentral. Lineage: Eukaryota; Metazoa; Chordata; Mammalia; Carnivora; Felidae.